RNAcentral lists this ribosomal RNA (419 nucleotides) under bacterium. RNAcentral's name for it is "partial 16S ribosomal RNA". It matches the Rfam family "Bacterial small subunit ribosomal RNA", at positions 355 to 776 of the family's 1533-position model. The record is from RNAcentral.
UGGGGGAUAUUGCACAAUGGGCGAAAGCCUGAUGCAGCGACGCCGCGUGGGGGAUGAAGGCCUUCGGGUUGUAAACUUCUUUUGCUCUGAACAAGGCGCACCAUGGGGUGUGUUGAGUGUAGGGGUUGAUUAGCGCCGGCUAACUACGUGCCAGCAGCCGCGGUAAUACGUAGGGCGCGAGCGUUGUCCGGAAUUAUUGGGCGUAAAGGGCUUGUAGGUGGCUGGUUGCGUCUGUCGUGAAAGCUCAUGGCUUAACUGUGGGUUUGCGGUGGGUACGGGCUGGCUUGAGUGCAGUAGGGGAGGCUGGAAUUCCUGGUGUAGCGGUGGAAUGCGCAGAUAUCAGGAAGAAUACCGGUGGCGAAGGCGGGUCUCUGGGCUGUUACUGACACUGAGGAGCGAAAGCAUGGGGAGCGAACAGG